UGGGGAAUAUUGGACAAUGGGCGAAAGCCUGAUCCAGCCAUGCCGCGUGUGUGAAGAAGGUCUUUUGGUUGUAAAGCACUUUAAGUGGGGAGGAAAAGCUUAUGGUUAAUACCCAUAAGCCCUGACGUUACCCACAGAAUAAGCACCGGCUAACUCUGUGCCAGCAGCCGCGGUAAUACAGAGGGUGCAAGCGUUAAUCGGAAUUACUGGGCGUAAAGCGCGCGUAGGUGGUUAUUUAAGUCAGAUGUGAAAGCCCCGGGCUUAACCUGGGAACUGCAUCUGAUACUGGAUAACUAGAGUAGGUGAGAGGGGAGUAGAAUUCCAGGUGUAGCGGUGAAAUGCGUAGAGAUCUGGAGGAAUACCGAUGGCGAAGGCAGCUCCCUGGCAUCAUACUGACACUGAGGUGCGAAAGCGUGGGUAGCAAACAGGAUUAGAUACCCUGGUAGUCCACGCCGUAAACGAUGUCUACCAGUCGUUGGGUCUUUUAAAGACUUAGUGACGCAGUUAACGCAAUAAGUAGACCGCCUGGGGAGUACGGCCGCAAGGUUA
RNAcentral lists this ribosomal RNA (549 nucleotides) under uncultured bacterium. RNAcentral describes it as "bacterial SSU rRNA". It matches the Rfam family "Bacterial small subunit ribosomal RNA", at positions 355 to 896 of the family's 1533-position model. The record is from RNAcentral.